AAAUUUCUUCCCUCUGUUUACUCUUCUCUUCCAUCGGCACCGAGAGACUCUCCACCUUCACUAUCAAUCUAAACGGAGAGCGUUAUUGUGUCUGUUGUUCAUGGCCAUCAAUUCAAACACCCACUAUGAGACCUUCAAUGCAACGGUAUAGAGGGUGAGGCGGUCUUAGCUCUGUAUAAAUAUAUGUUAUAGGUGAAAUCAUCUCAGUGAAGAGUACGCGGUGAGUGAUAGUCCUGGAGGAAAGAGUCGUUUCAUGGCCUAAUUUUUGUUCACACCACUAGAAGAAAGAAUUGGAUCACAGUGAAACAUACUAAACGGCGCGGUCAGCAAUUUCCUUAUCCUCCUGGCUUACCCAGCAUUUGGGACUUGCACCAACUAGGCGAAUAACCACACCAAUCUUUAUGGAAACUCACGAAGAAGUAUGAUCCUGUAAUGUUACUACACUUGAAAGAGUUUCAGCUUAAGAGUUGCAGAAGAUCAAGGAUUUUCAGAUGAGCCAAAAUUUGCUAGCUUGAAGCUUUUCGUUGUUAUCCUGAAGCAUGUGUUGUAAUGAUUUAAAACAAUCUGGACUUUUGCAUAUUGUAUGUUGCUAUUUGUAACUGAAGUUUGUUCUUACGUGAGGGAAAACUGCAGAGCCACUAUGCAAAACGUUGUAAAUAGUGAGCCUAUUAGUAAAAAAAAGUGAAAGGUCAUACCCAUA
Raphanus sativus (radish) is the source of this 700-nucleotide long non-coding RNA. RefSeq lists it as uncharacterized. The record is from RefSeq and is a predicted model, not a curated record. The transcript is spliced from 3 exons. Lineage: Eukaryota; Viridiplantae; Streptophyta; Magnoliopsida; Brassicales; Brassicaceae.